RNAcentral lists this ribosomal RNA (253 nucleotides) under uncultured bacterium. Its description in RNAcentral is "partial 16S ribosomal RNA". It matches the Rfam family "Bacterial small subunit ribosomal RNA", at positions 524 to 776 of the family's 1533-position model. The record is from RNAcentral.
UACAGAGGUCCCGAGCGUUGUUCGGAUUUACUGGGCGUAAAGGGUGCGUAGGUGGCAGGGUAAGUUCGGUGUGAAAGCUUCGAGCUCAACUCGGAAACGGCAUUGAAUACUAUCCUGCUUGAGGAUCGGAGGGGAGACUGGAAUUCUCGGUGUAGCAGUGAAAUGCGUAGAUAUCGAGAGGAACACCAGUGGCGAAGGCGGGUCUCUGGACGAUUCCUGACACUGAGGCACGAAAGCUAGGGGAGCAAACAGG